Molecule: transfer RNA, 77 nt
Filed under: Saccharopolyspora rectivirgula
Lineage: Bacteria; Bacillati; Actinomycetota; Actinomycetes; Pseudonocardiales; Pseudonocardiaceae
Description: tRNA-Arg
Rfam family: tRNA
About the family: Transfer RNA (tRNA) molecules are approximately 80 nucleotides in length. Their secondary structure includes four short double-helical elements and three loops (D, anti-codon, and T loops). Further hydrogen bonds mediate the characteristic L-shaped molecular structure. tRNAs have two regions of fundamental functional importance: the anti-codon, which is responsible for specific mRNA codon recognition, and the 3' end, to which the tRNAs corresponding amino acid is attached (by aminoacyl-tRNA synthetases). tRNAs cope with the degeneracy of the genetic code in two manners: having more than one tRNA (with a specific anti-codon) for a particular amino acid; and 'wobble' base-pairing, i.e. permitting non-standard base-pairing at the 3rd anti-codon position.
Source: RNAcentral
GCCCCCAUAGCUCAGCUGGAUAGAGCGGAGGACUUCUAAUCCUUAGGUCGCAGGUUCGAAUCCUGCUGGGGGCGCCA